This 404-nucleotide ribosomal RNA is filed under the name uncultured bacterium. Its description in RNAcentral is "bacterial SSU rRNA". It matches the Rfam family "Bacterial small subunit ribosomal RNA", at positions 355 to 776 of the family's 1533-position model. The record is from RNAcentral.
UGGGGAAUAUUGGACAAUGGGCGAAAGCCUGAUCCAGCAAUGCCGCGUGAGUGAUGAAGGCCUUAGGGUUGUAAAACUCUUUCAGUAGGGAAGAUAAUGACGGUACCUACAGAAGAAGCACCGGCUAACUCCGUGCCAGCAGCCGCGGUAAUACGGAGGGUGCUAGCGUUGUUCGGAAUUACUGGGCGUAAAGCGCGCGUAGGCGGUUCAGUAAGUUGGAAGUGAAAUCCCAGGGCUUAACCCUGGAAUUGCUUUCAAAACUGCUGAACUAGAGAAUGGUAGGGGAAAGUGGAAUUCCUAGUGUAGAGGUGAAAUUCGUAGAUAUUAGGAGGAACACCAGAGGCGAAGGCGGCUUUCUGGGCCAUUUCUGACGCUAAGGCGCGAAAGCGUGGGGAGCAAACAGG